RNAcentral lists this ribosomal RNA (465 nucleotides) under uncultured bacterium. RNAcentral's name for it is "partial 16S ribosomal RNA". It matches the Rfam family "Bacterial small subunit ribosomal RNA", at positions 28 to 507 of the family's 1533-position model. The record is from RNAcentral.
GACGAACGCUGGCGGCGUGCUUAACACAUGCCAGUCGAACGGAAAGGCCCCUUUGGGGGUCCUCGAGUGGCGAACGGGUGAGUAACACGUGAGUAACCUGCCCUUGACUUCGGGAUAACUUCAGGAAACUGGGGCUAAUACCGGAUAGGAAUCCUUGCUGCAUGGUGGGGGUUGGAAAGCUUCGGCGGUUUUGGAUGGACUCGCGGCUUAUCAGCUUGUUGGUGGGGUAGUGGCUUACCAAGGCUUUGACGAGUAGCCGGCCUGAGAGGGCGACCGGCCACAUUGGGACUGAGAUACGGCCCAGACUCCUACGGGAGGCAGCAGUGGGGAAUAUUGCACAAUGGGCGGAAGCCUGAUGCAGCAACGCCGCGUGCGGGAUGACGGCCUUCGGGUUGUAAACCGCUUUCAGCAGGGGCGAAGCUUGUGGUGACGGUACCUGCAGAAGAAGCACCGGCUAACUACGUG